CUUUAUCUGAAAUUGAAAAUUGAAAUAUUUUGGAAUGCAUUCAACGAAAAUUCAAAUAUGCCUUUGCAUGAAGGACAGUAAAAUCUGGCAAUCAGUUCAAAAAUCUAGAGCGGUAACAUCCUUAGGCUUGGUGGGUUCAAUGAUCUCAAUCUUUUGAAUUCAAAAAAAAACAUAUUUUCAUUGCAUUGACCUAGGCACUUGCAUUUACAAUAAUUUUGGUUUGGUUACUUUAUUUGCAUGCAUCUUGAAACUACUGUAAGAAAAACAACACUAUAAAGUUGCCUAGUCAAACAAAAAUGGUUUUUAUACAAGCAAAGACAUCAAAAGAAACUACAGUAAGGUUUACCUCAGAUCUCAGCGUAAUGAAAUGGGUCAAAAUUUGAUACAAAGAAAG
Molecule: unclassified non-coding RNA, 394 nt
Filed under: Hevea brasiliensis (rubber tree)
Lineage: Eukaryota; Viridiplantae; Streptophyta; Magnoliopsida; Malpighiales; Euphorbiaceae
Source: RNAcentral